RNAcentral lists this ribosomal RNA (234 nucleotides) under Burkholderia sp. AU36459. Its description in RNAcentral is "partial 23S ribosomal RNA". It matches the Rfam family "Bacterial large subunit ribosomal RNA", at positions 2697 to 2925 of the family's 2925-position model. Lineage: Bacteria; Pseudomonadati; Pseudomonadota; Betaproteobacteria; Burkholderiales; Burkholderiaceae. RNAcentral also lists the same sequence under 2 other names. The record is from RNAcentral.
GUGGACGAACCUCUGGUGUACCGGUUGUCACGCCAGUGGCAUCGCCGGGUAGCUAUGUUCGGAAGAGAUAACCGCUGAAAGCAUCUAAGCGGGAAACUCGCCUUAAGAUGAGAUAUCCCUGGAGGCUUGACCUCCUUGAAGGGUCGUUCGAGACCAGGACGUUGAUAGGUCGGGUGUGUAAGCGCAGUAAUGCGUUCAGCUAACCGAUACUAAUUGCCCGUAAGGCUUGAUCCU